Small nucleolar RNA from Tachyglossus aculeatus (Australian echidna), 138 nucleotides. The record is from RefSeq and is a predicted model, not a curated record. Lineage: Eukaryota; Metazoa; Chordata; Mammalia; Monotremata; Tachyglossidae.
CCCCUCUCAGGAUCACACCUGGAGGGCUUUCAAUACUCUACCAGUCUCAGCUACAGGAGGGAGAGUAAAGCAGAGGCAUACUCAUUCCAUUCCUAGCUUGGGCAGUGUCUAGUCAGUGGAAGACAAUCUGCUACAAGU